RNAcentral lists this ribosomal RNA (1442 nucleotides) under Corynebacterium xerosis. RNAcentral describes it as "bacterial SSU rRNA". It matches the Rfam family "Bacterial small subunit ribosomal RNA". The record is from RNAcentral. Lineage: Bacteria; Bacillati; Actinomycetota; Actinomycetes; Mycobacteriales; Corynebacteriaceae.
CGAACGCUGGCGGCGUGCUUAACACAUGCAAGUCGAACGGUAAGGCCCCAGCUUGCUGGGGUACACGAGUGGCGAACGGGUGAGUAACACGUGGGUGACCUGCCCCGCACUUCGGGAUAAGCCUGGGAAACUGGGUCUAAUACCGGAUAGGACCGCACCGUGAGGGUGUGGUGGAAAGUUUUUCGGUGUGGGAUGGGCCCGCGGCCUAUCAGCUUGUUGGUGGGGUAAUGGCCUACCAAGGCGGCGACGGGUAGCCGGCCUGAGAGGGUGGACGGCCACAUUGGGACUGAGACACGGCCCAGACUCCUACGGGAGGCAGCAGUGGGGAAUAUUGCACAAUGGGCGGAAGCCUGAUGCAGCGACGCCGCGUGGGGGAUGACGGCCUUCGGGUUGUAAACUCCUUUCACCAUCGACGAAGGUUUUCUGACGGUAGAUGGAGAAGAAGCACCGGCUAACUACGUGCCAGCAGCCGCGGUAAUACGUAGGGUGCGAGCGUUGUCCGGAAUUACUGGGCGUAAAGAGCUCGUAGGUGGUUUGUCGCGUCGUCUGUGAAAUUCCGGGGCUUAACUCCGGGCGUGCAGGCGAUACGGGCAUAACUUGAGUACUGUAGGGGAGACUGGAAUUCCUGGUGUAGCGGUGAAAUGCGCAGAUAUCAGGAGGAACACCGGUGGCGAAGGCGGGUCUCUGGGCAGUAACUGACGCUGAGGAGCGAAAGCAUGGGUAGCGAACAGGAUUAGAUACCCUGGUAGUCCAUGCCGUAAACGGUGGGCGCUAGGUGUAGGGGUCUUCCACGACUUCUGUGCCGUAGCUAACGCAUUAAGCGCCCCGCCUGGGGAGUACGGCCGCAAGGCUAAAACUCAAAGGAAUUGACGGGGGCCCGCACAAGCGGCGGAGCAUGUGGAUUAAUUCGAUGCAACGCGAAGAACCUUACCUGGGCUUGACAUAUACGGGACCGGGCCAGAGAUGGUCCUUCCCUUGUGGCUCGUAUACAGGUGGUGCAUGGUUGUCGUCAGCUCGUGUCGUGAGAUGUUGGGUUAAGUCCCGCAACGAGCGCAACCCUUGUCUUAUGUUGCCAGCACGUAAUGGUGGGGACUCGUGAGAAACUGCCUGUCCCAAACUUCUAGGAAGGUGGGGAUGACGUCAAAUCAUCAUGCCCCUUAUGUCCAGGGCUUCACACAUGCUACAAUGGUCGGUACAGUGGGUUGCGAUGCCGUGAGGUGGAGCUAAUCCCUGAAAGCCGGUCUCAGUUCGGAUCGGGGUCUGCAACUCGACCCCGUGAAGUCGGAGUCGCUAGUAAUCGCAGAUCAGCAACGCUGCGGUGAAUACGUUCCCGGGCCUUGUACACACCGCCCGUCACGUCAUGAAAGUCGGUAACACCCGAAGCCAGUGGCCCAACCCUUGUGGGGGGGAGCUGUCGAAGGUGGGAUCGGCGAUUGGGACGA